This 445-nucleotide ribosomal RNA is filed under the name uncultured bacterium. RNAcentral's name for it is "partial 16S ribosomal RNA". It matches the Rfam family "Bacterial small subunit ribosomal RNA", at positions 354 to 796 of the family's 1533-position model. The record is from RNAcentral.
GUGAGGAAUAUUGGUCAAUGGGCGGGAGCCUGAACCAGCCAAGUCGCGUGAAGGAAGACGGUUCUAUGAAUUGUAAACUUCUUUUGUGCAGGAAUAAAGUGGGUUACGUGUAACCUUUUGUAUGUACUGUACGAAUAAGGAUCGGCUAACUCCGUGCCAGCAGCCGCGGUAAUACGGAGGAUCCGAGCGUUAUCCGGAUUUAUUGGGUUUAAAGGGUGCGUAGGUGGAUUGAUAAGUCAGCGGUGAAAGUUUGCAGCUUAACUGUAAAAUUGCCGUUGAAACUGUCGGUCUUGAGUGCAAAUGAGGUAGGCGGAAUGUGUUGUGUAGCGGUGAAAUGCUUAGAUAUAACACAGAACUCCGAUUGUGAAGGCAGCUUACUGGGAUGCAACUGACACUGAUGCACGAAAGCGUGGGUAUCAAACAGGAUUAGAAACCCCGGUAGUCC